AGGUCGUGCUGAGUCAG
Molecule: unclassified non-coding RNA, 17 nt
Filed under: Mus musculus (house mouse)
Lineage: Eukaryota; Metazoa; Chordata; Mammalia; Rodentia; Muridae
Description: oocyte_clustered_small_RNA1987
Source: RNAcentral